CGAUCUUGAGGCAGGAACUGAG
This 22-nucleotide microRNA is filed under the name Oryza sativa (Asian cultivated rice). RNAcentral describes it as "osa-miR1861f". Lineage: Eukaryota; Viridiplantae; Streptophyta; Magnoliopsida; Poales; Poaceae. RNAcentral also lists the same sequence under 1 other name. The record is from miRBase by way of RNAcentral.